Molecule: ribosomal RNA, 300 nt
Filed under: Escherichia coli
Lineage: Bacteria; Pseudomonadati; Pseudomonadota; Gammaproteobacteria; Enterobacterales; Enterobacteriaceae
Description: partial 23S ribosomal RNA
Rfam family: Bacterial large subunit ribosomal RNA
Source: RNAcentral
GGAAACGAUGUGGGAAGGCCCAGACAGCCAGGAUGUUGGCUUAGAAGCAGCCAUCAUUUAAAGAAAGCGUAAUAGCUCACUGGUCGAGUCGGCCUGCGCGGAAGAUGUAACGGGGCUAAACCAUGCACCGAAGCUGCGGCAGCGACGCUUAUGCGUUGUUGGGUAGGGGAGCGUUCUGUAAGCCUGUGAAGGUGUACUGUGAGGUAUGCUGGAGGUAUCAGAAGUGCGAAUGCUGACAUAAGUAACGAUAAAGCGGGUGAAAAGCCCGCUCGCCGGAAGACCAAGGGUUCCUGUCCAACG